This 461-nucleotide ribosomal RNA is filed under the name bacterium bp45. RNAcentral describes it as "bacterial SSU rRNA". It matches the Rfam family "Bacterial small subunit ribosomal RNA", at positions 31 to 487 of the family's 1533-position model. The record is from RNAcentral.
GAACGCGGGGCGUGCCUAAUACAUGCAAGUCGAACGCUUCUUUCCUCCCGAGUGCUUGCACUCAAUUGGAAAGAGGAGUGGCGGAUGGGUGAGUAACACGUGGGUAACCUACCCAUCAGAGGGGGAUAACACUUGGAAACAGGUGCUAAUACCGCAUAACAGUUUAUGCCGCAUGGCAUAAGAGUGAAAGGCGCUUUCGGGUGUCGCUGAUGGAUGGACCCGCGGUGCAUUAGCUAGUUGGUGAGGUAACGGCUCACCAAGGCCACGAUGCAUAGCCGACCUGAGAGGGUGAUCGGCCACACUGGGGACUGAGACACGGCCCAGACUCCUACGGGAGGCAGCAGUAGGGAAUCUUCGGCAAUGGACGAAAGUCUGACCGAGCAACGCCGCGUGAGUGAAGAAGGUUUUCGGAUCGUAAAACUCGUGUUGUUAGAGAAGAACAAGGACGUUAGUAACUGAAC